AGAGUUUGAUCAUGGCUCAGAACGAACGCUGGCGGCGUGCCUAACACAUGCAAGUCGUACGAGAAACACGAUCUUCGGAUCGUGGAGUAAAGUGGCGCACGGGUGAGUAACACGUGGGUAACCUGCCCUCGGGUCUGGGAUAACUGGCCGAAAGGCCCGCUAAUACCGGAUAAGACCACAGGAGCUUCGGCUCCCGGGGUAAAAGUCGGCCUCUCGAAGAAGCCGGCGCCURAGGAGGGGCYCGCGGMCYAUYAGCUWGUUGGYGAGGUAACGGCUCACCAAGGSHVCGAUGGGUAGCUGGUCUGAGAGGAUGAUCAGCCACACUGGAACUGAGACACGGUCCAGACUCCUACGGGAGGCAGCAGUGGGGAAUCUUGCGCAAUGGCCGAAAGGCUGACGCRGCGACGCCGCGUGUGGGAGGAAGCCCUUCGGGGUGUAAACCACUGUUGCCCGGGACGAACGGCGGGGRAUGCCCCGCGUGACGGUACCGGGUGAGGAAGCACCGGCUAACUCCGUGCCAGCAGCCGCGGUAAUA
RNAcentral lists this ribosomal RNA (535 nucleotides) under bacterium enrichment culture clone Cont194_3131. RNAcentral's name for it is "partial 16S ribosomal RNA". It matches the Rfam family "Bacterial small subunit ribosomal RNA", at positions 8 to 525 of the family's 1533-position model. The record is from RNAcentral.